CCUACGGGUGGCAGCAGUGAGGAAUAUUGGUCAAUGGCCGGAAGGCUGAACCAGCCAAGCCGCGUGAAGGACGAAGGUGCCAAGCAUUGGAAACUUCUUUUGUCAAGGGACAAAAUCAGGCGCGAGAGCCUGACCGAGGGUACUUGAAGAAAAAGCAUCGGCUAACUCCGUGCCAGCAGCAGCGGUAAUACGGAGGAUGCUAGCGUUAUCCGGAUUGAUUGGGUUUAAAGGGUGGGUAGGCGGUCCGUUAAGUGAGCGGUAAAAUUGCGGGGCUCAACCCCGUCGAGCCGUUGAAACUGGCCGACUUGAGUUGGCGAGAAGUACGCGGAAUGCGGGGUGUAGCGGUGAAAUGCAUAGAUCGCGCGCAGAACUCCGAUUGCGAAGGCAGCGUACCGGCGCCAGACUGACGCUGAGGCACGAAAGCGUGGGGAUCGAACAGGAUUAGAUACCCGGGUAGUC
Molecule: ribosomal RNA, 459 nt
Filed under: uncultured bacterium
Lineage: Bacteria
Description: partial 16S ribosomal RNA
Rfam family: Bacterial small subunit ribosomal RNA
Source: RNAcentral